CGAAAGUCUGAUGCAGCAACGCCGCGUGGAGGAUGACACAUUUCGGUGCGUAAACUCCUUUUAUAUGAGAAGAUAAUGACGGUAUCAUAUGAAUAAGCACCGGCUAACUCCGUGCCAGCAGCCGCGGUAAUACGGAGG
RNAcentral lists this ribosomal RNA (138 nucleotides) under uncultured bacterium. Its description in RNAcentral is "partial 16S ribosomal RNA". It matches the Rfam family "Bacterial small subunit ribosomal RNA", at positions 376 to 531 of the family's 1533-position model. The record is from RNAcentral.